UUCUGUUGCUCUGUAGAAUGACAUCUGGAUUCUGCUCAUAUCCUUCAUGUAGGGCUUUCCACAGAAGUCUUCGGAAGUCGUAUUGUACGAAUUGUCUGCCGCCCUCCCUUCACUCCUCCUUCCCAGAGAUGAUGAAGAAACUGAGAAGCAGGGAGUAGGAGUGAGCUGUUCAGUAUCACAGGGCUGCUGAGGAACAGAACCAGGAGGAGAGCUAAAGCCUGAGAUGGAGGCGCACAGAUGCACAGCCCCUGGGGACAGAGAAGAUCUGGCAUAGAAAAAUGGGGACAUGAAGGAACUCCUGGCUGGAGAAAAGCAAAAGGCUGCAGCAAUAUCAAGGAACAGAUGAUCCCAAACCAGUCAGAGAAAUUGAUUCUGAAGAGAACAGAGACAAAUCCAGGGUCACGGGUCUACACCAUAGCUCUUGGACAACUAGCAUUUCUGUAUCACCUGAAGGUUGGUUGAUAGAUGAACUAGGCAAUGAAAGUACAGGACAGAAGAGAACUAUCCAAGAGAACAAAGACAAAGGUGCUGAG
RNAcentral lists this long non-coding RNA (533 nucleotides) under Monodelphis domestica (gray short-tailed opossum). RNAcentral describes it as "lncRNA (ENSMODG00000039607.1)". Lineage: Eukaryota; Metazoa; Chordata; Mammalia; Didelphimorphia; Didelphidae. The record is from RNAcentral.